UACGUAUGGAGCAAGCGUUAUCCGGAUUUACUGGGUGUAAAGGGAGUGUAGGUGGCCAGGCAAGUCAGAAGUGAAAGCCCGGGGCUCAACCCCGGGACUGCUUUUGAAACUGCAGGGCUAGAGUGCAGGAGGGGCAAGCGGAAUUCCUAGUGUAGCGGUGAAAUGCGUAGAUAUUAGGAGGAACACCAGUGGCGAAGGCGGCUUGCUGGACUGUAACUGACACUGAGGCUCGAAAGCGUGGGGAGCAAACAGG
RNAcentral lists this ribosomal RNA (253 nucleotides) under [Lactobacillus] rogosae. RNAcentral describes it as "Lactobacillus rogosae partial 16S ribosomal RNA". It matches the Rfam family "Bacterial small subunit ribosomal RNA", at positions 524 to 776 of the family's 1533-position model. Lineage: Bacteria; Bacillati; Bacillota; Clostridia; Lachnospirales; Lachnospiraceae. The record is from RNAcentral.